Molecule: ribosomal RNA, 119 nt
Filed under: Candidatus Uhrbacteria bacterium
Lineage: Bacteria; Candidatus Uhriibacteriota
Source: RNAcentral
CUCGGUGCUUCAGGCGGUGAGGUCACACCCGUUCCCAUCUCGAACACGGAAGUUAAGCUCACUGGCAUCGAUGGUACUUGGACCCAACCCGGUCCUGGGAGAGUAGACAAGUGCCGGGA